CAGUUGAAAUAUAAAUUGCUUUGCCCCGCCCCUGCCAACGUCCCGGUAAUAUGCGGUUUUCUUCCCCUAAAUUCAAAUUCUCACCUUCUUCCCUUACCGCGAAAAUCGAAUCCAAGGUGUCCAUCCAAACACCAUCUCUAUCAAGAGCAUCCGAACAGCACUGCCUAUCCCUCCUCCAAGCCUGCAACUCCUUCUCAAACCUCCUCCAAAUUCAUUCCCACAUCCUCAAAUCCGGCCUCAAUUCCAACCCCUUUGUACUCACAAAACUCAUCUCCACAGCUUCUUCUCUCAACGCCAUUGAUUAUGCCUCUUCCGUCGUUUUCUCUAACUGCGACAACAUUACUCGCAUUUUCGAUACUUUUUUAUUCAAUACUCUCAUCCGUGGCUACGCGCAUUCCACAGUUGCUAAAAUCAACGGUGUCGCUGCGUUCUCUUUUAUGCUUCGAAAUGCCAUCUUCCCCAAUAAAUUCACCUUCCCUUUCGUUCUAAAAGCCUGCGCGGGCCUUGGUGAUUUGAAUCUUGGCAAGCAAGUUCAUGGGUCUGUAGUGAAAUUUGGUUUUGAGGCUGAUCUUUAUGUUCAAAAUACGUUGGUUCAUGCGUAUUCUAGCUGUGGUGGGGGCAUUGAGCUUGCUCGGGAGGUGUUCGAUGGAAUGCCCAAGUCGGACCCAGUAUGUUGGAGUGCUAUGAUUGGUGGGUAUGUUCGGUUGGGUCGGUGUAAUGAUGCAGUUGUGCUCUUUAGAGAGAUGCAGAUUGAAGGUGUCAAGCCUGAUGAGGUUACUGUGGUGACGGUUCUUUCAGCUUGUGCUGAUAUGGGAGCGCUCGAGCUUGGGAAGUGGAUUGGGAUUUACGUUGAAAAGGAAGGGAUUGCAAAGACGGUGCCAUUGUGCAAUGCACUCAUUGAUAUGUUUGCCAAGUGCGGCAGCAUUGAUGAUGCCUUGAGGCUGUUCGGUGAAAUGCCGGAGAGAAGCAUCGUGUCUUGGACAUCAAUCAUUGACGGUCUUGCCAUGCAUGGCCAUGGGAGAGAAGCCAUCGCCCUGUUUGAGGAGAUGAAGAGUGUAGGUGUCAUCCCUGAUGAUGUUGUGUUUAUUGGUGUGCUCUCUGCUUGCAGCCAUGCUGGAAUGGUCGAAAAAGGAUGUCACUACUUUGACUCGAUGAGGAACGAAUUCACCAUUAUCCCAAAGAUCGAGCACUAUGGGUGUAUGGUCGAUCUUUUCAGCCGAGCUGGGCUUGUCAAACGUGCACUAGAGUUCGUACAGGAUAUGCCAAUGGAGCCCAAUCCAGUAAUCUGGCGAACACUGAUCAGCGCUUGUCGGGCCCAUGGAGAGCUUGAGCUGAGUGAAAGCAUCACAAAACAGCUUAUCGGAGCUGAACCCAUGCAUGGGUCGAACUAUGUCUUGUUGUCGAACAUAUAUGCAUCGAUGCAUGGGUGGGAAAAGAAAUCGAAGAUCAGAUAUUUGAUGGGUGAGAGAGGGAUUAGGAAGGUUCCCGGGUGCAGCUUGAUUGAGCUCGAUAGCAAGAUUUACGAAUUUGUGGCGGGGGAUAAAUCUCAUGAGAAGUAUAAAGAGAUCUAUGAAAUGGUGGAGGAGAUGGGGAGGGAGUUGCGGAUUGCCGGAUAUGUUCCUACAACAUCGGAGGUGUUACUUGACAUCGACGAGGAAGAUAAGGAAGAUACAUUGUAUAAACACAGUGAGAAGCUAGCAAUUGCUUUCGCACUUUUGAAUACAAAGCCAGGGACACUGAUUAGGAUUGUGAAGAACUUGCGCAUUUGUAGUGAUUGUCAUUCUGCGAUCAAGUUCAUCUCGAAGGUCUAUAAUAGGGAGAUAGUGGUCAGGGAUCGGAACCGUUUUCAUCUGUUCAAAGAUGGGGAAUGCUCAUGCAAGGGUUAUUGGUGAGAGGUGUUUGAUGAAAGCCUCAAAGAUAGGCAAAAGGAAGCUGCCUCAAGACCAAGUAACAUAACAUCGAUUAUGAAAAGGAUCAUACCACAUCAGACGGUCAGCUGAUCACAUUACCUAGGCCUGGAAAUCAGACUAGUGUAUGCAUGUGUAUAUUGGACCAAUCUUCACACUCUUCAACACCCAGACCAAAGAUACAACAGCUCCAAUUUAAAUUGGAAAGUCUAAGGUGACAUAAGAUCGGAAAGUCUAAGUUUCAACUCAGGUUGGAUGUUAGAAAUGAAUGAUAGCCCAGAAACUUACCCAUUAGAUGAGUAGUCUAGCAUGGUAUGUGCACCAUGGAACCUUCAGAUGGACAUUUGUGUAAUAUAUGUUCUUCAAAUGACCAAAUGCAGGCAGUCUUCUGUUCUUCUUACCUUUGUGGUUAAAAACUA
RNA transcript from Magnolia sinica, 2326 nucleotides. It is a transcript of the gene named pentatricopeptide repeat-containing protein At4g21065-like, with no coding region annotated. NCBI's taxonomy places the organism in Eukaryota, Viridiplantae, Streptophyta, Magnoliopsida, Magnoliales, Magnoliaceae. The transcript has 5 exons. The record is from RefSeq and is a predicted model, not a curated record.